Molecule: transfer RNA, 74 nt
Filed under: Aquicella siphonis
Lineage: Bacteria; Pseudomonadati; Pseudomonadota; Gammaproteobacteria; Legionellales; Coxiellaceae
Also listed under: 3 other names
Rfam family: tRNA
About the family: Transfer RNA (tRNA) molecules are approximately 80 nucleotides in length.
Source: Rfam by way of RNAcentral
GCGCCCGUAGCUCAGUUGGAUAGAGUACUUGGCUACGAACCAAGGGGUCGGGAGUUCGAAUCUCUCCGGGCGCG